UCCGUAGGCGGGCAAUUAAGUCAGAAGUGAAAUCCCACAGCUCAACUGUGGAACUGCCUUUGAUACUGGUUGUCUUGAGUUACAGUGAAGUAGAUAGAAUAUGUAGUGUAGCGGUGAAAUGCAUAGAUAUUACAUAGAAUACCGAUUGCGAAGGCAGUCUACUAACCGUAUACUGACGCUAAUGGACGAAAGCGUGGGGAGCGAACAGGAUUAGAUACCCUGGUAGUCC
RNAcentral lists this ribosomal RNA (229 nucleotides) under uncultured bacterium. Its description in RNAcentral is "partial 16S ribosomal RNA". It matches the Rfam family "Bacterial small subunit ribosomal RNA", at positions 568 to 796 of the family's 1533-position model. The record is from RNAcentral.